Molecule: ribosomal RNA, 1335 nt
Filed under: Triticum aestivum (bread wheat)
Lineage: Eukaryota; Viridiplantae; Streptophyta; Magnoliopsida; Poales; Poaceae
Description: partial small subunit ribosomal RNA
Source: RNAcentral
AUGCAACACCUAGCGCAUAAUUUCAAAAAGAAGUUCAAAGGUAAAGUUUAUGAUGAGAACUUAUGGCCAGCAUCAUACACAUGCAGCAAAAGGAAGCAUGAACACCAUUUGAGAGUGUUGUAUGCCCAAAAUCCUCUUGUGAAGUACAUGGAUGCACAUCAUGGUAAGGUGUGGUCAAGAAGCAAAUUCAACGAAAUCUACAAAGUAGAUUAUGUGACCAGUAACCUUGCAGAAUGCUUCAAUUCAAAGUUCAAGUCAGUGAAAGGGCUCUUGUUGUGGCAAGCAUUUGACAAGAUGAGGCAAAUGAUCAUGAUAAAGAUGGCUCUUCGCAAAAGAAUUGCAGAAACACAAUAUGUUGGUCAUCAAAUGCUCCCAUCACUGAUUAAGGCAUUGCACUUGAAGGCAAGAGGACUGAAGAUGAAAUGUAUUCGAUCUGGUACAUAUGAGGGAGAGGUUACCUAUACUAACACUAAAAAUAGGGUAUGGAGGUAUCCUGUGAACCUAAGUACUAGAGAAUGUACUUGUAGGCAAUGGCAGAUCCGUGGGAAGCCAUGCAUACAUGCCCUACAUCUGAUGACCGUUAUCGGGGGUGCAGAUGGUGAAGUUGAUCAAUAUUGCUCUGAGUAUUUCUCUGUUGCCAAAUUUAUGGCUGCUUAUGCUGACAAUGUACCUGCACUAUUGGGGAGAGAUCAAUGGAACAUAGUAGAUCCGGGGUUCAAACUCCACGCUCCUGUCAUUACUAGACCACCAGGAAGACCAAGGAACCAGAGGAUUAGAGCAGGUGAGGAGGGUCGUCUACCAAAGAAGCGUGCUUGCAAAAAAUGUGGAGUUCUGGGGCAUAUUGCUAGGCUUUGUACCAAUGCAGUGGAUGCAUCAUUUGGAGAAGAGGAAAGAUGGACAACAACAUUUGCUGAGGAGAAUGCAGCAGCAAUGGAGACUGAAGAUGCAGUGGAGAAUGCAGCAGCAAAUGAAGCAGUGGAGAAUGCAGCAACAAAUGAAGCAUCUUGCUCUAGGGAGAAAAGGCCAAGAGAUGAAGAAGCAGAAGAUUUUGAAACCAUGGCCUUUGAUGGUUUUGAAGCUAUAAGAGAGGAAGAGGAGGGGGUAAUUUUUCCAAUUGUGCCUUUAAAGAUUAAUGAACCCAUAGAUGACUGUCAAAUGGUCGUCAAGUGCUCGGCGAGUGGAACUACUCCAUCAGCACCUCCACGGGGAAAACCCCAAGUAAAGCCCAAGAUCAAAAGGAACAAGAGUCUGAAAGAAAAGAGCAUCUCAACUACGGAAACCAGGAGCAAGACGGUGAAGCCAGCUGCAAACACAAGGAGCAAGUCGAAAAUUUGA